This 253-nucleotide ribosomal RNA is filed under the name uncultured bacterium. Its description in RNAcentral is "partial 16S ribosomal RNA". It matches the Rfam family "Bacterial small subunit ribosomal RNA", at positions 524 to 776 of the family's 1533-position model. The record is from RNAcentral.
UACGGAGGGUGCAAGCGUUAUCCGGAUUCAUUGGGUUUAAAGGGAGCGUAGGCGGAUCUGUAAGUCAGUGGUGAAAUCUCUGGGCCUAACCCAGAAACUGCCAUUGAUACUGCAGAUCUAGAGUACAGUUGCCGUUGGCGGAAUAUGACAUGUAGUGGUGAAAUACUUAGAUAUGUCAUAGAACACCGAUUGCGAAGGCAGCUAACGAAGCUGUAACUGACGCUGAGGCUCGAAAGUGCGGGGAUCAAACAGG